RNAcentral lists this ribosomal RNA (253 nucleotides) under uncultured bacterium. Its description in RNAcentral is "partial 16S ribosomal RNA". It matches the Rfam family "Bacterial small subunit ribosomal RNA", at positions 524 to 776 of the family's 1533-position model. The record is from RNAcentral.
UACGAAGGGGGCUAGCGGUGUUCGGAAUCACUGGGCGUAAAGCGCACGUAGGCGGCGCGUUAAGUCAGGGGUGAAAUCCUGGAGCUCAACUCCAGAACUGGCUUUGAUACUGGCGUGCUCGAGUGUGGGAGAGGUUGGUGGAACUCCGAGUGUAGAGGUGAAAUUCGUAGAUAUUCGGAAGAACACCAGUGGCGAAGGCGGCCAACUGGCCCAUUACUGACGCUGAGGUGCGAAAUCGUGGGGAGCAAACAGG